GAUGAACGCUGGCGGCGUGCCUAAUACAUGCAAGUCGAGCGAACGGACGAGAAGCUUGCUUCUCUGAUGUUAGCGGCGGACGGGUGAGUAACACGUGGAUAACCUACCUAUAAGACUGGGAUAACUUCGGGACACCGGAGCUAAUACCGGAUGAUAUUUUGAACCGCAUGGUUCAAAAGUGAAAGACGGUCUUGCUGUCACUUAUAGAUGGAUCCGCGCUGCAUUAGCUAGUUGGUAAGGUAACGGCUUACCAAGGCAACGAUGCAUAGCCGACCUGAGAGGGUGAUCGGCCACCCGGGAACUGAGACAGGGUCCAGACUACUACGGGAGGCAGCAGUAGGGAACCGUCCGCAAUGGGCGAGAGCCUGACGGAGCGACGCCGCGUGAGUGAUGAAGGUCUUCGGAUCGUAAAACUCUGUUAUUAGGGAAGAACAGAUGUGGAAGGAACUGUGCACAUCUUGACGGUACCUAAUCAGAAAGCAACGGCUAACUACGUG
RNAcentral lists this ribosomal RNA (497 nucleotides) under uncultured bacterium. RNAcentral describes it as "partial 16S ribosomal RNA". It matches the Rfam family "Bacterial small subunit ribosomal RNA", at positions 28 to 507 of the family's 1533-position model. The record is from RNAcentral.